This is a long non-coding RNA of Bombus impatiens (common eastern bumble bee), 1760 nucleotides long. RefSeq lists it as uncharacterized. Lineage: Eukaryota; Metazoa; Arthropoda; Insecta; Hymenoptera; Apidae. The transcript has 3 exons. The record is from RefSeq and is a predicted model, not a curated record.
GAUUCGGACACAUACACGUAGACAUUAUCGCGAUGCAGCAUUCGCAAGGCUAUCGAUAUUGUCUAACGUGUAUCGACCAUUUCUCGCGUUGGUCCGAAGCGAUACCCACAGCCGAUAAGGAAGCAUCAACCGUUGCUUCAGCUCUCCUUUUAACAUAGAUUGCUCGUUUCGGCGUACCAUCCAAAAUAACAACCGAUCAAGGACGCCAAUUCGAGCCACAAUUAUUUAACACGAAUUAUACCGGUUGCUCGGUAUCGAACAUUUACGCACGACGACCUAUCAUCUCGCGUCCAACGGGAUGGUAGAGCGCCUACAUCGACAGUUGAAAGCGGCAAUCAAAUGCUACGAUAUGAGCAACUGGGUUGAAAUCUUACCGAUCGUACUAUUAGGAAUUCAAACAGCAAUUAAGAAGGAACUGAACGCAACGGCUGCCGAAAUGAUCUACGGCGCAGGAAUACGACUGCCAGGAGAAUUUUUCGUACCGAUGGUUCGGCAAGCGACCUUCGAAUACGCGAAUCGGCUUAAAGAGCGAAUCGAAGAAAUAAAGCCGCAAUCGAUCACUCGACAAACGUGUUCAUUUUCCGUGAACUCGCAGUGUCACCCUAUAUAUUGCUGCGUAGCAACGUCGUCCGCAGUUCCCUACAAACACCUUGCGACAGGUCAUACAAGGUGAUACAAGGCGGAGAGAAGAAUUUCAACAUAAAAAUAAAUAAUAGAAAGGUAACAGUCUCCAUAGACCGGCUAAAACCGCUGUUCCUUGUAGAUGACAAUAUCGAACAACAAAGUGUCGAAUACCACGACAUAAUAAUACCGCUUAGACAUCAAAUCGAGCGAAGCGAUACACGGACAAACACAAGAAAUAAAUAUGUCACGCGCGCGGGCAGGAGAGUCCCAUUUCCUGAUACGUUACAGGCAGGUUUCGAAUAAGCGCUAUAGUUCUUUGGGCUUGGGAAUUACCCACGAAAUUUGUAAACUAACUACACACAAAAAAAAUAUGUUAUCGUUGGUAAGGAGGUGAUGUAGCGACACAUAAGUCAUAGGACAAUUGGAAUCGAGAGUGACUCAUGUCGUUGUUUUGUCUCGCAGUAUCGACACCGUUACUACGUACAAAAUUUAAAAGUAAAUAAACUCCGGACAAAGCAAUAUCAUCCCUACCUGAAAUCGUCAACCGAAGUCGAAGUCAACCUUUCCGACUUUCCCGACCAGUAUAAAUAAACGAACAUGCUCUCUAAGGCGAUCAUUAUCUAGUAUCCUUACAGCGAGUGUCAUUGAGCGUGCGACGAUUCAGGCGUAUUAUAGCAACUCUGUAUUCUGUACUUAGAGAGAUCUUUGAAUAUAUCCGACUAUCACAAGUAUUAGCUCAUCUCGUCAUUAAAUAAAUCAACACGUUUGAUAUGAAAAGCAAGCUGGUCGAAGAAAAAUCCAAGAGGACGAGACACGACGGAGCUUCCUACGCGGAAACAAAAAUCACCUAAGUGGGAACUGCCCAACGAAAAGCCAGGUGUUUCAAAUGCCAGGAGUACGGACACAUCGCAUCGCAAUUUAACAAUUGCGUCAAGAGGGUACUUGCAACCUGGAGUGCUCGACCCCCAGUCCGCUCUAAAGCAAAACAUCAAUACCAGAUGAGAUACACGACGAUAGGACAGUUACAAUAUUGGAUAGGAACACAUUCCUUCCUCAAAGGAAAUAUGGACAGAAAAACACCCCCUGGAAAGAUGCGACGGUCAAACGCCAAGAGGUUCCUUCGCAUCUUUGAUCGG